UCGACGCUGGUGGGAGGGCUUUGGCCUGUGGAAGAAGGAAAACAAAGCCGGCCGCGUUGUCCCAGCGGUAGAAAAACCCCAGGUCUAGGGACCUGUUCACUGGUGGAUAUGCUAGAAAGCGUUUCACGUCGUAAAAGAAGUACCUGCCAAGGUAGAGAAGUGUCGACGGCAUCUUGGAAGUGAUGAGGUAAAUGGCUCAAGUUUAAAGCCUUGUUCCAGUUGCUGCAAGGUGCCUCAAGGAACGCUAUUUGGUGAGUUUUGUUUACACAUGAGAUAUGCACAUCUGUUUUUCCCACCGCAAUCGUUGGUUUAUGUUAGCUAGUCAUCGUAACCAUCCACGCUCUGGAAUGAGAUGUGACUACAAGAUUUGGUAUCUUUGGUCCGUCACUGUCUGGGAAGACUCCUGUGAGAUGAAAGAGUGGAAAAGACAUUGUCCACUCCAGCCAUACUAAACUAUUUUUAAUUCCCUGAAAGCCUUUUGGUGAUUUUCGCCUAUUGUCUUUUUUAAAACUUUUUUUAUGGAAAAUUUCAAACACAGAUAAACAGAAUAGUAUAAUGAACCCCUCUUACUCAUCACUCAACUUCAGCUAUUAAUAUUCUACCACACUUAUUUCAGCUGUGCCAUCCAUUCCCCAGCCCCUCCGUUUGAUUAUCAUUAUUUUUACAGUUGUUAAGGUAGAAUUUACAUACAUUGAUAUGCACAAGUGUUAACAAUUUUGACAACUCGAUAUGCUUGUGUACCUACACCCUUACCAGAUUUCCAUCUCAUGAGGAAGAUCUUCCUUCUUUCUCAGGUGACCCCUCAGUCCCCCAAAAGCAACCACUGACUUUUUUUACUCUAGAUUAGUUUUGCCCAUUCUAGAACUUCAUAUAAGUGGAAACAUACAAUUUUUAUAUACCUUUUUGUGUCCAGUGUCUUUUUUCAGCAUUAUGUUUGUGAGAUUCAGACAUGUUGUUGCAUGUAUCAGUACACUAAUUCAUCCUUUUUAUUGCUGAGCUCUAAUAUACCGCAACUUGUUUACCCAUGCUCUUGGGUUGUUUUCAGUUUUUGGCUAUUAUGAGUAAAGCUGCUUUGAACAUUUUUGUACAAGUCCUUUUGUGAACAUAUCUUUUCACUUGGAUAAUUACCUAGGACUGCCAUUGCUGGAUCGUAAGUUAAGUAUAUGUUUAACUUCACAAGAACCUACCACGUUCUUUGCCACAGUGAUUAUAUCAUUUUCCACUCCCUCCAGCAAUAUAUAUGAGUUCUAAUGGUUCCACAUCCUCAUCAAUACUUGGUAUUGUCAGUCUUAAAUUUUAGCUAUUCUAGUGGGUAUUGUUGAUGCAAGUAUUCCAUACCAACCUAUCAAUCAAAAUUUGGGUGGGUUUACUAUGAGCCAGAGUGAGGAUUAUAACCUGGGAAGGCCUUAGAAGGCAUUCUGGAGAAGCAUGGAUUUCAGUACAGUCUUAUAUCUUUUUAGAACAAGGAACAUACAUUAAAGACACCCAGGAUACAUUUUCAUCAAAAUUCCAAAGAGAUACUCAGUUGCAAAUUAGCAAAUGAACAUGACGGUAAUACCAGGAAAGGGACUAAUCCAAAUGUUACCAAUAGGGCAUUACCAAUAGUGCAUAGGAGGGGAAGUAUGCAUUCUUAUCUUAAGAGAGUGCAUUCUUUAAUGGUUAAGCAGAUGUACAGUGUAUGUUUGAUAGGCCAUAAGUCAGGCAUUUUAGUUCAAGCCAAGUAAGCUUUGAACCCAAAUGGUUACCCCAUGUACCUCAGUAUGUGAAAAUCUCUUGUCAGUAUGAAGUAGUAUCUCAAUUUAGGAUAAAUUUACAUUUCCCUGAUGACUAAAGAUAUUGAGCGUGUUUUCAUGAGCUUCAUACUUCAGCCUCAUAUAUUUUUCACGUGAGUUUCCCUUGCCCACCAGAACACUUAGUACCACCCUUAUCUAGUUAACUACUCGCGCCUUAUCUUGUCCUCACUUUAUUGAAAGGAAUUCUUCCUCCAGUGAAGAGAGAAGGAAAUCAGCCUAAAAGCUACCUGAGAACCAGUUUUCUAGAAUCAAUGGCAACCAUUGUCUUUUUGUGGCGCCCUGGAACCUUAGGCCAGAGGAAACUCCCCUUUCCUGCGUCCUCCUCCAUGUCCCAGUUGAGGAAAUACAGCCCAAGUCUUAGCUGCUCAUUCAAGUUUGAUAUUAAGAGGUUUGAAAGCUUUGUAAGACUGGGACUUAAGUUGAGACAGAGCGUACCAUAAAAUCUAAAGGAAAGUACUAUGUGGAAAUUUUAUUGAAGAACAGUAAGCACCUCCACUUCAGUGUUUCCUUUUGAAGGGAUAAUCCUGUGGCUUUCAAGCCUGUGGAGAAAUAGGAUGAUUACAAUUUACAGCAUGAGAAAGAAAUACUGUUUCCUUGGGAUACAGACACUAAGUUCCCAUUGAUUAGAAAGGCAGUGCAUUCUCUUGCUGGGUGUGCUGUGUAAAGCCCCUCCUGGACCUGUUGCCAACGUCUUCUGAGAAGAGAGGCAGAAAUUUUUCUCAGGCCUCCCUUAGCCUGGCCUUCAGUGACUGCCUGGGGGUUGAGGAGAAGCAUGCAAGGAUCCUGUGUGGGAAGAAAGUAGGACUGCUAUCAGAAGGAUUACAGUUUAUGCUUUUCAUAUCUUGCCACCCUCAGUUGCUGGCCUUUGGUUUCCUCCCACUAAGAGGAAGCUUUCCAGUGUGUUUACAGUCAGUUAACACCUCCAAAGCAGGUACUUUUGGUGCCCCGCUCAUAUCCACUGGGCACUCAACAUUCCUGUACAUGCUGACAGCUUUCUAUUGCCAAUACCUGCAUCCCUUAGCCUGAGAGCUUUCUCUAUCGGAGCAUGCUGGGUGCCAGGCAGGCUGGAAGUGCCAGGGAGUUAACAUCCCUGGGAACAGCCCUCAAACUAAUGACAGAUGGGAUUUAGAGGCUAAAUUCUCCCAUCUUCUCAUCCUUUGGUGGGACAACUCUCAGAUAUGCUCCACACCGCCUCCCAGAGUUGCACAGUAGAAUUGAGCCCCAACUCCCCACAGCAGUAACAGACUUAUGAUUGCAUCUUCUGUGGGCUUCCUCCCCUCCACUGGCUCCCUGUCCCCUCCCCUCCCAGUGCUUCCUGAGAUUGCUUCCAAAUAAACUCCUGGCCUCAAUCCUAGUCUCAGGGUCUGUUCUGGAGAAACUCAAUCUAGGUUAACUUAAUAUCAAGAAAACACUAAUAAAAUAAUAUUAGGAAGAACAUAUUGUUAAUAAAUCAUCUGAUACUCUAAAUGCUUCACUCCACAUCCAGCAUUCCUAAAGACCUAGAAUUCACUCCCUUUGAGUUUACCUGUUUUUAUCCCCGAAAUAUUAUUGUUAGGGAAUUCUUCUCAGGUGAAGAUCUAGUUUAGGAAAUAACCCCCAAACUAAGGGACUUUGUCUCACAUAUUUGAGUUUAGAUGGAUAAUCAGCUACUUGAUUUCUCAAAGCAAAUUGAUAUAAUGUAUAAUAUUGCCUCCCAGCAUAUUAAGAUACUUCUGCAUAAUAAAAGAUAUCCUCAAUGUAUUGAUGUUUUGGUUUUACUCACCUCCGCCUGCUUUUGGAAACAAAAAUGGAAAGCAAGAAUAAUUUUGCUGAAGAAAGAGAGAAGGCUGAUGCUGGUAUAUGUGUGUGUGGACCCAGGAGUCCUAAGCAUUCUUUGCCCUCCACACUCUCCUCCUUCAAAAACGUUAACACAGCAACAACUAAAAUAUUCUGGCGAGUUUGGGUUUAUGACUGUGUCAUAGGUUGAUAAAUUUGGUAAAUAGCUCCACAUAAUAUUUUUACAGGUCAGUCCUCAGAAGAGGAUCGCAAAAUUGAAACGUCAGGAUUCCGUAGCUCAAGAUGCUAGAAAUCUGGCACCAAGAUAGGUUUGAUUCCCCGUCCAUUAAAAUAUUUCUUCUUAAAUCUCACUUCCAAAUCCAGAGAUUCAGGUGUGAAGCUUAAUUCCAUAGCCUCCCUCCAAAUAAUUAUCUUCCAGGUCAUCUGGGCGGCUCUGCUCCCUGUGUCUUCACCCUUUUUGGACCAGUGACUAGUCAAGACACGCUCCUCCCAUGGCGAUGAGAGAGGCGCAAGAGGGCACACCCAUGCACUCACGCACAUUUCAAGCCCCUGGUUGUGUCACAUCUGCCAAAGCAAGUCACAUGGCCAAGGCCAAAAUCAAGGGGUGGGAAAAGGAUAUCCCCCUUAAUGGAGGUGAAAGGAUGAAGGAGUAAACAUUUUUGACAAUAACCUACCACAGCAGGUAAGCUACUGAAAAGUCAGUCAAGGGCAGGCUACACUUUGUUCAAUUAAAGGGAGGAGAAUUUUUGUUUCAGUUUUCCUCUCAUUCAGCACAGGUGAACCAGAGUGACUUUAAAAAAUAUCAGGCUAAAUUUCCUGGCAUCCAGAAACAGUUUCUUAAAGCAGAGAUCAUAUUGCCCUAGAAAUGGAGGCAUUUUGAGGUUUCAGAUGUUAAGCCAAUCUUAUGGUUAGGAAGAUCCCAUUAUCUGUUCAUGACUAAACUGAGAUUGCCAGACUUUGAGAUCUGAACUAGCCUUGAACAUUUAUUUUUCCCUGCAAGGUUCAGAUCCCGAAAGAAUCACUUUCAUUCUGAAUCCUGGGACGAGACUCAGCAGAUACCAGGCAAUAUGCCUGUUAGUGAUUCCACAGUCUGGGUAUCCAAACAGUGGUCAAAGUGUCCAAAACCAGUAUUUCCUUAUCCGCACAGGCUUUCCUUAAUUAGUAACUGAUUUGUACUUUGAGGUUUAUUCAAUUUGGAAGAGGUUAAAGUUGAAGAUUCCAAUAGCUUUCACCAGUUUAGUAUACACUGAUUCUUUCUCAGUCCAAGGAGGGGAGAAAGGUGUUUCCCCUUGCAUAGGAUUAAAAAGGAGCAAAAAACCCUUAGUUAUCUUUGGGAAGGAAAGAAUUAUUUAAAAUGGUGAACAGCAAAGAAAAUAGCAGAAGAUUAACCAGAAAUCUUCAUUAUGCUCCUAGUGCAGUGUGUGAAUCCAAUGAGUGUCCUUAAAUGAUGAGUUGAUUUCAAAAGAAAUAUUAGCUUCAGAUUCUAGCUAUUGAGUGACUGUAUAGAAAUUCAGAGCAGAGAGACCAAUAGGGUUGCAGUCAUGACAAACCCAACAGAUCAGAGGACCCACAGGUACUGGGACUGGAAUUUAAGAAUAAAUUGGUUUGAAUAGAUGACGAAGAAGGAAAAUGUCCUGGAAAACAAAGAAUGUGAGUAAAGUUUUGGAGUUAUAAAUGAACAUGGGUAUAGGGAGUAGUGAGAAGAACACCUUGACCCAAAUGGGAAAAUGGUCACAAACUAGGUGAGAUAGAGACUAUAAGGCAGGAUUAUGAGAGUCUUAAUAGGCAUAGGAACUUAGAGGUUAUGUGGUGGAUGUUAGAAGCUGUUGGGACUUCUUAGUGGGGAAAUUUAGUGCAAACAUCUCCAGUUGUCACAACAGGCUGGUUUUCAUUGUGACUCUUGGCCAGCUUUUGACUUGGAGAUAGUAAUGAUCAUCGUGGAUGAAAGAGGAGAUGAUUCAUGUGUAUUUUGACUCCUUUACAAAUGUGAUUUUAGCCUGAAUCAUAGAAAGAGUCUGUAGCCUUUUCCCAUGGCUUUUGUUGGCAACAACUGUAUGUUCCCAUGGGAACAUGCAUACUUACCUAUCCAAACCUUCCUCUUAUGUUUAUGCCCUCAACUUCUGUUCACUUGGAUGUUUUCAUCUUUUCUACGGAGCACAUUCACAUACAAGCUUAAAAUACAGUCUGUAUUUUUAUUACAGCUGAGGAUUCAUCCCGAACAUUUUCAAAUACAUAAAACUCCAGGUAUAACUCCAAACCAAACAUGAUGAAAGGAGGCAUUUGGAUAGACCACAGAAAGAUACACCAUCACAUUGCACACCAGCUGCUGUAAACACUUCAGCUUUCUGCAGCAACCAGAGGAAGGAAUUAUGACUCAGCGUGCUUCUUCAGUGGUUGGUUCUGGACAGCCUUUUUAAACUCUAAUCCAAAAUAGAAAUAACGUACCUCCCGUGUGUUCAAGAAGCUUGCACUCCUGGGGAUGACAAUGCCCUUUCCAUCUGCAGGAAAGAAGUUCUCCUCUGAUCGCGACGGCAAAGCAGCAAACAUUUGCUGACCUCCAUAAUUCCGCACUGAACUCUUUCCUCAGACAGGACACCCUAAUUUCUCUGUUACUUUAUUCCUUUGCCAAAUUCUAAUGGUUUAAAAUCAAAAAAAGAUGAAGUUAAAUAAUAGCUGUUGUGUGUUUUUGAGAAAGUUUGAGUUUGGUUACUGUGGGUUUUCUAAGAUAUUGCUUUCCUUAGUUUAUACAAAAAAGCAUUUAUUGAUCUAGGUUUUAGACCAAGUGCUGAUGACACAGACAUGAAUAACAGUUCCUCUGGCGUGUUUCAAGUAAAACAAAUAUGUAAAAACUAAGCUAUAAUACAAUUUAAUACGUGUUUUGACAGAGGUGCACAAGCUGUGGGAACAUGGGAGAAAACAUAAUUGAUUCUGUGGUUCCAGGGAAGCCUUCAGAGAGCAGAAGGCAUUUGGGCAAAUCUCGAAGGAUGGGCACGGGCUCCGUAAGUGGAGUGAGAGCACUUAAGGCAGAGAACAGGAAGAAUAAAAGCACCAGUACAUCAAAGUGCAGUGUUGGCUGUGAUUUCCUUUCAUUCCAGAUGAGACAAGUCAGGAAUCCGGGGACAGACAUGCAUCUGGGAGGCUGCCCUCCUCAACGCAGACUUAGCUCAGACCCACUGCAAGCAGAAAUUUCAGGACUGCAGAAUCAGGCUGAUUAAAUCAUAAGGGUCAGACUUCCUUGAGAGCAAAAUGUUUGCAAACACCUUCAUGGAAAUGGGACAAUGGACUCAAGAGAACUGCAGGUUUUCCAGACGAUCAGGAAACAUGAUUUCUGGAGGAGGAGCCACAUUCUUCUAGAGGGAACCCAAGGGGAAUGCCACAAGGUUUUAGGAACUACAAGUGGUCCCAGCUUCCUCCUCUAGUCCCCAGAAUGCUUCAUUGUCAUUUUCCUGAUGACGUACUCUUUACUUUACUGAAAUAUGAGCUCACUCCGUGCCCCGGUUUCCUAGGACUGCCCUAACAAGUUCCCACAAACUUGGUGGCUUAAAACAACAGAAAUUGAUUCUCUCACCAUCCAGGAGACCAGAAGUCUGAAAUCAGGAUGUCAGCAAGGGUGGUUCCUUCUGGCCACUCUGACGGAGAAUCUGUUUCAUGCCUCUCCUAGUUUCCAGUGGUUGUCAGCUAUCCGUGUUACUUGUAGACAUAGCACUCCCAUCUCUGCCUCGAUCUCCACGUUACCUUCUUCUCUGUGGCUCUGUGUGUCUCAAAUCUCCCUUUCCCCUUUCUUAUGAGGAUAUAAGUCACUGGAUUUACAACCCACCUUAAAUCCAGAAUGAUCUCAUCCCAAGAUCCUUAAUUUAAUAAUAUCUGCGAAGAUCCUGUACCCAAACAAGGUCAUGUUCACAAGUCCCAGGAGUUAGGACUUGGACGUAUCUUUUGUGGAAGGGACGCUAUUUAACCCAUUAUGCCCCCCUUUCAUUGCGACAUCCUGUGGGUUAGUGCUAUAGAUGUCUUCUGAGCACCUGUAAAUGGACUCUUUGAUCUUGUCCAGAAACUGAGUACUGGGACAGAAAGACACAAUAUCUUAACUCCCAUUGGCUCGGAGUAAAAUAAAGGUUCAAAUUAUC
Equus caballus (horse) is the source of this 7693-nucleotide non-coding RNA. The record is from RefSeq and is a predicted model, not a curated record. NCBI's taxonomy places the organism in Eukaryota, Metazoa, Chordata, Mammalia, Perissodactyla, Equidae.